AUGGCCCAUUAAUUCUCAGG
RNAcentral lists this non-coding RNA (20 nucleotides) under Arabidopsis thaliana (thale cress). The record is from RNAcentral. Lineage: Eukaryota; Viridiplantae; Streptophyta; Magnoliopsida; Brassicales; Brassicaceae.